RNAcentral lists this ribosomal RNA (84 nucleotides) under Vibrio alginolyticus. RNAcentral describes it as "partial 16S ribosomal RNA". It matches the Rfam family "Bacterial small subunit ribosomal RNA", at positions 1 to 84 of the family's 1533-position model. RNAcentral also lists the same sequence under 1 other name. The record is from RNAcentral. Lineage: Bacteria; Pseudomonadati; Pseudomonadota; Gammaproteobacteria; Vibrionales; Vibrionaceae.
AAAUUGAAGAGUUUGAUCAUGGCUCAGAUUGAACGCUGGCGGCAGGCCUAACACAUGCAAGUCGAGCGGAAACGAGUUAUCAGA